AGAGUUUGAUCCUGGCUCAGAUUGAACGCUGGCGGCAUGCUUUACACAUGCAAGUCGAACGGUAACAGGGGAGCUUGCUCCCGCUGACGAGUGGCGAACGGGUGAGUAAUGCAUCGGAACGUGCCGAAUAGUGGGGGAUAACGCACCGAAAGGUGUGCUAAUACCGCAUACGCCCUGAGGGGGAAAGUGGGGGACCGCAAGGCCUCACGCUAAUCGAGCGGCCGAUGUCGGAUUAGCUAGUUGGUGGGGUAAAGGCUCACCAAGGCGACGAUCCGUAGCGGGUCUGAGAGGAUGAUCCGCCACACUGGGACUGAGACACGGCCCAGACUCCUACGGGAGGCAGCAGUGGGGAAUUUUGGACAAUGGGGGAAACCCUGAUCCAGCCAUGCCGCGUGUCUGAAGAAGGCCUUCGGGUUGUAAAGGACUUUUGUCCGGGAGGAAACCCUGAUCGUUAAUAGCGGUCGGGACCGACAGUACCGGAAGAAUAAGCACCGGCUAACUACGUGCCAGCAGCCGCGGUAAU
Molecule: ribosomal RNA, 523 nt
Filed under: uncultured bacterium
Lineage: Bacteria
Description: bacterial SSU rRNA
Rfam family: Bacterial small subunit ribosomal RNA
Source: RNAcentral